RNAcentral lists this ribosomal RNA (253 nucleotides) under uncultured bacterium. RNAcentral describes it as "partial 16S ribosomal RNA". It matches the Rfam family "Bacterial small subunit ribosomal RNA", at positions 524 to 776 of the family's 1533-position model. The record is from RNAcentral.
UACAGAGGGUGCGAGCGUUGUCCGGAAUCACUGGGCGUAAAGGGCGCGUAGGUGGCCUGGUAAGUAGGGGGUGAAAUCUCGAGGCUCAACUUCGAGGCUGCCUCCUAAACUGUCAGGCUUGAGCAGAGUAGAGGCAGGUGGAAUUCCCGGUGUAGCGGUGGAAUGCGUAGAGAUCGGGAAGAACACCAAUGGCGAAGGCAGCUCGCUGGGACGUGACUGACGCUGAGACGCGAAAGCGUGGGGAGCAAACAGG